UAGAUUCAGUUUUGAAUCGAC
RNAcentral lists this non-coding RNA (21 nucleotides) under Caenorhabditis elegans. The record is from RNAcentral. Lineage: Eukaryota; Metazoa; Nematoda; Chromadorea; Rhabditida; Rhabditidae.